GCCCACGUAGCUCAGUCGGUAGAGCACACCCUUGGUAAGGGUGAGGUCCUUGGUUCAAGUCCGAGCGUGGGCA
This 73-nucleotide transfer RNA is filed under the name Thiohalorhabdus denitrificans. It matches the Rfam family "tRNA". Rfam says of the family: Transfer RNA (tRNA) molecules are approximately 80 nucleotides in length. Their secondary structure includes four short double-helical elements and three loops (D, anti-codon, and T loops). Further hydrogen bonds mediate the characteristic L-shaped molecular structure. tRNAs have two regions of fundamental functional importance: the anti-codon, which is responsible for specific mRNA codon recognition, and the 3' end, to which the tRNAs corresponding amino acid is attached (by aminoacyl-tRNA synthetases). tRNAs cope with the degeneracy of the genetic code in two manners: having more than one tRNA (with a specific anti-codon) for a particular amino acid; and 'wobble' base-pairing, i.e. permitting non-standard base-pairing at the 3rd anti-codon position. The record is from Rfam by way of RNAcentral. Lineage: Bacteria; Pseudomonadati; Pseudomonadota; Gammaproteobacteria; Thiohalorhabdales; Thiohalorhabdaceae.